AUGGAUGUAGCGACGACCCGUCUCUCGUCUCACCCCUGCUUGCGCCGCCGCCGACACCCCGGCUCACAUCCUCGUCGGCUUCUCCCUCCCCUCAGGCCGCCUAGGCACGCCGCCGCCGCCGCGGCCACCACCUCAUCCGUCAUCGACCAAUUCAGCCUCGGUCCAAUUCCUCAAUGCGAGUGCCUCACUGGUCGAUGCGGGGCGAGCCGAUGUAUCCCCUCUCCCUCUGUGAUGUCGUCCGUCCCUGCGUGUGCCCUCUCCCUCCAAGAUCCCAUCUCUGUGCUGUCUGCUCCAUGGUAG
Molecule: ribosomal RNA, 300 nt
Filed under: Triticum aestivum (bread wheat)
Lineage: Eukaryota; Viridiplantae; Streptophyta; Magnoliopsida; Poales; Poaceae
Description: partial small subunit ribosomal RNA
Source: RNAcentral